UACAGAGGGUGCGAGCGUUACUCGGAAUUACUGGGCGUAAAGCGCACGUAGUCGGCUUUGCACGUCGGUCGUGAAAUCCCCGGGCUCAACCUGGGAACUGCAUCCGAGACUGCAUUGCUAGAGUAUGGGAGAGGAAAGCGGAAUUUCUGGUGUAGCAGUGAAAUGCGUAGAUAUCAGAAGGAACAUCAGUGGCGAAGGCGGCUUUCUGGACCAAUACUGACGAUCAGGUGCGAAAGCGUGGGGAGCAAACAGG
RNAcentral lists this ribosomal RNA (253 nucleotides) under uncultured bacterium. RNAcentral describes it as "partial 16S ribosomal RNA". It matches the Rfam family "Bacterial small subunit ribosomal RNA", at positions 524 to 776 of the family's 1533-position model. The record is from RNAcentral.